Molecule: long non-coding RNA, 1980 nt
Organism: Cuculus canorus (common cuckoo)
Lineage: Eukaryota; Metazoa; Chordata; Aves; Cuculiformes; Cuculidae
Exons: 3
Source: RefSeq, a predicted model, not a curated record
CGGGACCCCCGCAACUCGGAACCCCGGCAUCCCAGGAGCCCCUCCCUCUGCACUCUGGGACCCCAGAACCCCCACACCCUGGAACCCCAGCACCCCGGACCUCAGAAUCCUGGGAUCCCAGGACCUCAGAACCCCGGGACCCCACCGCCCCUGCACUUUGGAACCCAUGGGCCCCGGAACCUGCAGGACCCCAGCACCCCCACACGCCAGCACUAGGAUCUUGGAACUCCAGCUGCUUGGAACCCCCAGCAUUCCAGGACCCCCACGCUCUGCACCCUGGGACCCUCGCACCCAGCACCCCAGCACCUCUGGACCACAGCACCCCGAGACACCUGCACCGCCGUACCCCAGCACACCUGGGAUCGCCAGCACACCAGCAUCCUGAGACGCCCACACCCCCAGCAUGCUGGGACCCUGAGACCCCUGCACCCCAGGACCCCUGCACCCUGGGACCCUGGCACCUUCAGCAUCCCCGCACCAUGGCACCCCUGCACCCAGGGACCCCCCAGUAUCCCAGAACCCUGGGCUCUCUGGAAGCUCCACACCUCCAGACCCACAACCAUACCUAGCAGUUGGAACCCAGCAUCCUGGGACCCUCAGCACCCCCACACCCUGGCACCCCAGGAGCCCUGCACCGUGAUACCCCAGAACCUCAGUAACCCAACACCCCUGGGCACCCCGGGACCCCCCAGGCACCUCUCCACCUUUGGCACCCUGGCACCCUCAGCACCCACACACCAUGAGACCCCAGGACCCCCUGGCACCCCAUCACCCCCCGAGCACCCCCGAACUCCAGCACCCUUGGGCACCCACACAGGGUCACCCACCCUGGUACACCCAGCUAGGGACACUGGCACAGGGGCACCUGCACAGGGACUCGCACCCUGGAGCCCCCACCCCGUGUCACGGCACAAGCUCUUUCCCCUGAGCCACGUUGAGGCUGAAUCCUGGUCUCUGUGGCCAGGGGACAGGAACUGACUCCUGGGGUGAGGGUGGGUGACAGCCCCAGGGACCUCAGAACAUCCAGAGGCACCACCGGUGCUUCCUUUGGUGGCUUUUUGACUUAUUAAGCGCAAAGGGACAACUCUCCAGGGACAACUCUCUGCAGCAGACAGCUUUUAACGGGGCAGCUCUACACUGGGAGGGUUAGGGUUUGGGGCUCACCGUGUAGAGUUGCUCCUGUGGAGUGUUUACUCCACAGGACCCUUUACUAAACGAGAAAUCAGAAGCUCAGUACAUCACUGCUCCCAUCAAAGUUGAAGCUGUUUGAAUGCAAGAGUGGCAAUUGAGGAGGCACCAGGUGGGACCUUUGCUGAGUCCAUCACCAAUGGGCCAGGUGAGGUCUUUGGAGGCCGUACUGGCAGCUGCUGCUCUCCUUGCACCUCUCCAUUGCAACAGCAGAGCCCAAGGUGACCGUUGGAGUUUUGGAGACCACAUGGUUCUGUUUACGUGCAAGCACACUGCUGGUCCAGGAUGUGGCUGCCACACCACGUGCUCCCUGCCCUUCUGGGUCACACCUUCCCCCUCUGCCAGACACGCAGCUCGUGCGAUGGAGAAGGUGCUGCUGGAGGAAGACAGGAUGGCCUCAGUCAGCAUCCAGCCCAGAGGAGUGCCAGCAGAGAGACCCCCCCUCUUGGGGACGUCCUCUUUGGGAUGUCCAUCCUCCAUCUCGGAGAUGCCAAUGCUCAUCCUUGCAAAGCCAAGCACAGUUCUCAUGUGUGCUCAUCACCCUGGGUGCUCCUGGGGCCCAGAGGCUCCUGCUCCAUCUCUCUCUCCACUCCUGUUCCAUCUUUCUCCACACAGAACUUAUUAGCCAUGGGCUUUGACCAGGAGCUGCCCGUGGGACAGGUCUCCCCUCCCAAGCUCCACCACCUUUGCAGCCCCCUUCCCUCCAUCUCCUCUUUUCUGCUUACAGGCAAGAGAUGGGUAUCGUUUGGUUUUUGAGAAAGGCUGCAAAAAACCUUUUAUGAUCUGGCUUCG